GGAGGAGUGCCCGAGUGGUUAAAGGGGACGGACUGUAAAUCCGUUGGCUCAGCCUACGUUGGUUCAAAUCCAACCUCCUCCACCA
RNAcentral lists this transfer RNA (85 nucleotides) under Mesorhizobium sp. YM1C-6-2. RNAcentral describes it as "tRNA-Tyr". It matches the Rfam family "tRNA". Rfam says of the family: Transfer RNA (tRNA) molecules are approximately 80 nucleotides in length. The record is from RNAcentral. Lineage: Bacteria; Pseudomonadati; Pseudomonadota; Alphaproteobacteria; Hyphomicrobiales; Phyllobacteriaceae. RNAcentral also lists the same sequence under 7 other names.